Molecule: ribosomal RNA, 709 nt
Filed under: uncultured fungus
Lineage: Eukaryota; Fungi
Description: SSU rRNA
Rfam family: Eukaryotic small subunit ribosomal RNA
Source: RNAcentral
AUAACUUAACGAAUCGCAUGGGCUUGCGCGGGAUGGUUCAUUCAAAUUUCUGCCCUAUCAACUUUCGAUGGUAGGAUAGUGGCCUACCAUGGUAUCAACGGGUAACGGGGAAUUAGGGUUCUAUUCCGGAGAGGGAGCCUGAGAAACGGCUACCACAUCCAAGGAAGGCAGCAGGCGCGCAAAUUACCCAAUCCCGACACGGGGAGGUAGUGACAAUAAAUACUGAUACAGGGCUCUUUUGGGUCUUGUAAUUGGAAUGAGAACAAUUUAAAUCCCUUAACGAGGAACAAUUGGAGGGCAAGUCUGGUGCCAGCAGCCGCGGUAAUUCCAGCUCCAAUAGCGUAUAUUAAAGUUGUUGCAGUUAAAAAGCUCGUAGUUGAACCUUGGGCCUGGCUGGCCGGUCCGCCUCACCGCGUGCACUGGUCCGGCCGGGCCUUUCCUUCUGGGGAGCCGCAUGCCCUUCACUGGGUGUGUCGGGGAACCAGGACUUUUACUUUGAAAAAAUUAGAGUGUUCAAAGCAGGCCUUUGCUCGGAUACAUUAGCAUGGAAUAAUAGAAUAGGACGUGCGGUCCUAUUUGGUGGUUUCUAGGACCGGCGUAAUGAUUAAUAGGGAUAGUCGGGGGCAUCAGUAUUCAAUUGGUCAGAGGUGAAAUUCUUGGAUCUAUUUGAAGACUAACUAAUGGGGAAAAGGCUUUUGGCAAGGGAUGU